GCCAGCAGCGUGGUGGCUGAGCUGCCGAUGGGGCAUGGAGGGAGCGGAGGAGGAGGAGGAGGAGAGCGCGCGCGUCUUCUCCGGCUACCCAGCCGUCCGGCGUGUCAACAUUGCAGUGGAUGAGACUAAUGUCCUGCCGGGGUCUCUGCAGCUUAUCCGAACGCUCAGACCACAAUGGGAGACGGAGCGAGUUAAAACCAAGCUCUUCACUGAAGGCAUCACCAACAAGCUAAUGGCUUGUUUCACAGAUGAGAAUAUGAGAGAUGCAGUCCUGGUGCGGGUCUAUGGCAGGAAAACAGAACUUAUUGUGGACCGAGCCAAUGAGCUGAGAAAUUUCCAAGUCCUUCAGGACAACGGCUGUGCUCCCAAUCUCUUCUGCACUUUUGAGAAUGGAUAUUGCUAUGAGUUCAUGCCAGGGAAGGCUCUGGGACCAGAACAUAUCCGGGAGCCAAGUAUGUUCAGGCUAGUAGCCCAGGAGAUGGCAAAAAUGCACAGAAUUCACACCAAUGGGAGUCUCCCCAAGCCUUGUCUUUGGCACAGAUUGUACAAGUACCUUAAUAUUGUGAAAACUGAGUUUGCUCAAAAGGUAUCAAAUUCCAGCUUUCUUCAGGAAAUGCAGAUUCCUAGCCUAGAGGUGUUAGAAGAAGAGAUUCACUGGAUGAAAGAACAUCUCUCCCAGCUUCAGUCUCCAAUCGUCUUCUGCCACAAUGACCUUUUGAGCAAAAACAUCAUCUACAACAAAGCUGAAUGUCAUGUCCGGUUCAUAGAUUAUGAAUAUACUGGCUACAAUUAUCAAGCAUAUGACAUUGGGAAUCAUUUUAAUGAAUUUGCAGGGCUCAACGAAGUCGAUUACAGCUUAUAUCCAUGCAAGGAGGUCCAGUUGCAAUGGCUGAGGUACUACCUGCAGUCUUACAAGAAACUGAGCCCAGAGGACCAGGGAGAAGGAAACAAAAGCAGAGGAGGGAGUGGAGCAGUGUCUGAAGAAGAACUGGAGAGUCUCUAUGUGCAAGUGAACCAGUUUGCUUUGGCUUCCCAUUUUCUGUGGGCUUGCUGGGGCCUGAUCCAAGCCCAAUUCUCUACGAUAGACUUUAAUUUUGCCAGGUACGCAGACAUAAGAUUUAAGCAGUACUUUAAAACAAAACCUGUGGUGACUUCCCUUCAAAUGUCCAAGUGAGGUUAAAGUCCAAAGAGUCUUCUGGUUCUCAAGAUUCCACUCUUAUUUUCUCUGGUGUAGAGCACCUGCCACCCUCUCCUCCUGCAGUGCUGAGUGGUCAGACAUCAUGAAACAGGGCUGGGAAACAAAAGUGCACCUUCCACAAAAGCAAAAAAAUCUACAAAGCCCCUGAACUUGGCUGUGCCAUCCACGGAUUACCUGCCACAUGUUGGUUUCAGAAGGUGCUUGAUUUCAAGCGAAAGGAUAGGCCUUCUUGUCUGGGCAAAAGUAUUCUGACAGGCCUCCGGAGGGCAGCAAAGAGUUAUGAAUGCAUUCAUUCUUUUGACCCAGCAGCUGCAAAUGUCUGCUUGUGAACCAUUCCCUUCCUCUCCCCUGUAGCAGCUUCUCUACUCUAGGUAAUUUUUAUGACAUUGUAAUUUCAUGUUUUUCUUAAAGGGGCAGAUGUUGUUAUCAGCAGCCUUACUGAUGAUUCCGAAAGACCCAAUAGUUUGGAAAAUGGGAUGGGAUGGAGCUAGAAAAGUGAGUUAAAUAUUAGGAAAACGGCUUCAUCAUGUGGUGUAUAUAGAAAAAAAGAUUAAUCUCAGACUAGAAAGUUUAAGAAGCUUGUAGUGUGCCGAAGUUAGAUGGUGACUUAGCAACCUGUAAUCAUCUAGACCAGUAUUUCUCAAUCUUGGCAACUUUAAGAUAUGUACACUUCAAUUCCCAUAAUUCUCCAGCCACCAUGUCUGGCUUGGGAAUUCUGGGAAAUUAAGUCCAGACAUCUUAUAGUUCAAUAAAAUCAUUACUUUUGGCUGCCAACACUAUAUGUACCCUCCCUAGGAGCUACACAUUAUCCCACCAAUAAUUUUAUUUUGAAUUAUUAAAGAAAGGCCAGAGUUCAAUAUCUGGUUUUGUACAGCAUUCUAACUGGGAUAAACAGGAUUGUGUAGUUUGUGACAGCAUCCAACCAGUUUAAAGUAUUGUGUGAACCCAGCCUUAUUGUUCAAAAUGGCCUUCUUUAUAACAACAAAGUCUUAACCAUCAAAAAACUUUAAAAUGCAUUUUAUAAGAUUUAGCUGGUUGCCAAGUCAGCCCCUUUGGAUUUUUCAAAAGCUUUAUCCAAUUAACUGGAUGUUUUAUUGUCAGCUGUGCGCAUCCUAAUUCUGAAGGCUUAUCUAACAUUGCUAGACAUAUGCAGAGCAACUGAAAUUUCAUUCAGUGCAUGGCUUCCUUCAUUACCUCCCUUCACCAAAGAGGGAAAGAUAGCACUGCCAUAAUAUAAUGAAGAGCGGAAUACAAAUCACCUUAGUAUAUAAAAUAUCUCUUGCUCCAUUUCCUCAUAUUUAGUGCAAAAGCAAUCAGAAUCACAACAUUAUUAACACAUGUACCAGCUAUAGAAAAUACUAAUGUCCUUUUAAGUUAGAAGACAUUCACCCUUCCUCUGAGACACUGUUGUGGAAGGGAGUGGUUUUAGUCAGUUUCCUUUUUCACAUUAGAGGUAUUUAGUCUACUCAGGAUUUUUACAGUUUUGCCAUAUAAUCCAUCUUAAAUAUCAUUCAGAGAAAGCAAAGGCAGCAAAAACUAUUACUCUAUAUAGUAUCUGUCCUUGGUUUUUGGGAGAGCAGGAAAAACUCAUAAAUUGUGCUAUUUUUUUGCAUUUCAAGAUUAGGCUGGAUGAAAAGUAAAGCUUAUUACUCUUAUUUAGAAGGCUUCUGGGUGCAGGGACCUCUGUGGAGGAAAUUCCUAGAGGGAUAGUACAAAAAAUGUUAAAAGCCAACAUUGCCACCUAAACAAUCUCAGAAUGGCUCAUUGGAGCGGUGAAUGCUCCAACACUGGAAGUUUUUAAGAAGAGACUGGACAGCCAUUUGUCUGAAAUGGUAUAGGGUUUCCUGCCUGAGCAGGGGGUUGGACUAGAUGACCUCCAAGGUCCCUUCCAACUUUAUUAUUAUUAUUGUCCUGACUACAGUCCUUGUAGGAAUGGGCAGAUCAAUCUCUGUUCCCUCCAUCCAAUCAAGAAGGGAACACAGAAACUGGAUCUUGAACAUCUUCUCACCCUGUGUCUAGUUUUUACUUUGCUGUCUUUGUUCUUGGGGAGGAAAACAGAUGAAAAGUCAGUCUAGACAAAUCUCUACAUGAGUUAUGAUGCUUUCACAAGCAAGGUGGAGGUGGAGAGCCGUGGAAUUGGUUCAGCAGUGGGCAAAGUGUUUGCCCAUUUAACCCUAACUGCAAAAUGGAAAUGUUUUUAUUUGAAUGUCUAGGUAGCCAAUCUGCCUUUUUCUGAAAUAAUAUAUACUAUAUAGAAAUUGGAGCCAGAGUGGGGAUUGCUGCACAGCAUAAACAAUACAAAAGCUCCAUGGAGCAGUGUCAUAAAUUACCUAAUUCUCUGUCUUCUAAGCAAGUAGGAGGCUUAAGCUGUCUUUGACAUCUCCACCUAUCAGACCAAGAUGGAACCUGCUGCCAGGAUCUAUGUUUCACUCUUUGCAUAGCCUGUUAAUACAGUACUUUCAAAGCAAAGAUUAGCAUUUUUCCAAGGUAGUGCAUUCUGGAUACUCGUAUGGAAGCAAAAUUGGUUUUUAAACACUGAAUUGCUGAGAGCAUUUUUGGCAAAUUUAUCUUCACGAGAUCAUAUAAUGUGCAUACUAUUUGCUAGGGAGAAUAAAGGAAUAGCAUAGCAGGAAGUUUUAGGAAAUAAGUGAACUUAUUUAUACAACAGGAUCUCAACCAUCUUUACUUCAGAGGGAUUCACAAUGAUACUGCAUUGUCAUGUUCUCAGUGUUGACACAGUAUUGUGCAUGGGUCUCUUUCAUUAUGUGAUGUCAUAGUGAGGUAAAAGCUUCAGAGGGAAUUUAGAUCUACUUAAAAACAGUAAAACACAUUUUUGCCCUGAAGAUUAAAGUAUAUGGAGUAUGUCAGUAUGAAAUAGAAGUCUCUGUAGAUAAUUGUGUUAUUAAAACAAUCACAGCAUACCAGCAAACUGUUAAAAAAGGCCUGAAGACAGAUACAGGGUCAUUGGCCUUAUCUCAGAGGCAUCACAAACCUCUCAACGCACCACAUUGAGGUGUGUUGAUGUAUAUCUCUACUCGUCCUCAUAUAGUCAGAAUCAAGCAAUUUAUGAAGUUUUAUAGCUUGAUUUUUAUACCAUGAAAAAUUGAUUUGUUAUCUGAACACAAACAAGAUUGCAGUGCGGGUGACAUUGUGUAGUAGUAUUGUGUACUUGAAAGAGAAAUCUGCAUAAUUAUGCGAUGUAGUUACUGUUUGAAAUAUAUGAUUGCUUUGAAGCUUUAGGGGUUUUCAGAACCAUUGCUUUACGUGGUGCUUGUUUGUCUCGAGAGCAAAACAGUUGAGCAAACUGAGGUAACAGGGUAAAAGCCAACAAAGGCAUCUUUAGUAUGGGCAGAACUUUCUCAGUUCAUCCAAGCAAUGAACUGGUUAGGCUAAACUUUCAAGGAUUAGUCUACAUCUCUUAAUUGAUUACCUCACAGUGACUUGCUAUUUUUUUUUAUAAAAAUGUGCAGAUGCCAGCACUUCUCUCUUUGUAUGUGGCACCACUAAUUUUCUUAGCAAUUUUCAUGUACUCCAUUCCAUUCGUGUGCUCCAUUCCAUGUACAUAAACAAGAUUUUUCUGUAUUAUGAUAGUUGCUGACAAUAUUGAAUGAACUGUGUGUUCCUACAGGUACAUGUCAAAUCGGUGGACUUUGUUUCUUGAAUGAAAGACAAAACGGAACUUUUAAACACCAAAUGUCUCUUUUCAUCUAUAAAGCCAAUGUUAAAAUUAAAAACUGGAGGGAAGAUGUUUUGUUUCUGAGUAAUCAACUAUUCUUAUUAUGCAGCUUAUUGUCUUUGGUUAGUUCAUUUGUUUAAAUCAGUACCUAAAUUAGGCUGGGAGCUGUGCUUCAGCAGCAACGAAAGGGUCUCAGAUUCUCUAUCUCUCCUGUCUUCUGCUCCAAUACUUAUUCUACAUAAGUAGUAUUAUUUCUUGUCAUGUUUAACUGGCUUUAGAAGAGAUAGAAAGAAGUAGAAGCUACUAACCUAAUACCUGGGACACAAUCAUACAUGUCUGGGCCGAUGAUCAAGAGAGAUCCCUGUCUCCCUCAAAGAGAUUUUUCCGGUAUCAUUUGCCUGCUCAAGGUAAUUUCUCUCAGGCAAUUGCUAUGCUUCAAAGCAGCCAGAAUACAGUACAGUAUUGUACAUGGAUCUGUACUACAUAGU
RNA transcript from Crotalus tigris (Tiger rattlesnake), 5362 nucleotides. It is a transcript of the gene named ethanolamine kinase 2, with no coding region annotated. The record is from RefSeq and is a predicted model, not a curated record. The transcript has 9 exons. NCBI's taxonomy places the organism in Eukaryota, Metazoa, Chordata, Lepidosauria, Squamata, Viperidae.